This 70-nucleotide transfer RNA is filed under the name Hydropsyche trifora. Its description in RNAcentral is "tRNA-Gln". The record is from RNAcentral. Lineage: Eukaryota; Metazoa; Arthropoda; Insecta; Trichoptera; Hydropsychidae.
UAUAUUUAAGUGUUUAUUAGCACUAAAGAUUUUGAUUCUUUAAGAUUUAAUUAAUGAUUAAAAAAUAUAA